Molecule: microRNA precursor, 67 nt
Filed under: Bombyx mori (domestic silkworm)
Lineage: Eukaryota; Metazoa; Arthropoda; Insecta; Lepidoptera; Bombycidae
Description: mir-2774 microRNA precursor family
Rfam family: mir-2774 microRNA precursor family
Source: Rfam by way of RNAcentral
ACAACAUUCGGACCGUCGAUCCACCGAGCAAAACCAUCCUUUCGGUGGAAGAUCUACCCUCCAUCGU